GAGAGCAAGGGGUGGGUCCAUGGCUUUGGGAGUCCAGGUCACUCAUCUCCUUGCAAUAAUCCCCCAUUUCCAAUGAGCUCCCAUGAAUCUCUGCAAUCAGAAUUGGCCAUGAAAGCAGAAAUACCAGCCCAUCAGGGGCAGUGGGCCAAUUAGGUAAGAUGAUCAUUGCCACAAUCUCAAGGCAGCCCCGGGGCUAACUGCCACCCCACGAGUCACGUGUGAGUGGUAAAAUGUCCCCUUUGGCUGGUGCAUUCUCUUGAGCAUAGCCCAAGAAGUUCCCGAGCCUCUUUCCCUCGGCCCCUCCUCGCUUGGGGAGAUUCUUUUUAAACCGCAGGCCUGAGCAACGCCCCUGGAGCCCUCCCUGGGAGGAGAGGAAGCAGUUCAAAGUAACGAGUCAAUUUCACAGAUGGGAGCCAAGACAAAAGAGGCAGCGUCUUCUCACCCCAGGCACCACCCGAGCUCAGCUUCCUCUGGCAAUUUUAGCAUGUUUGGUCCGGCCUCAUUUAGACAUUUCAGAUCUCUGAAGCCCAGAGAGUGUCCAUGAGAGGUUUCCGUUUGCCACGGAGUCGAUAGUACAAAUUUUGUUCCAAACACAUCUGCCAAGUACAACCCUAAACUUUUCCAAGCGAGAGGUUAUUUUC
Molecule: long non-coding RNA, 641 nt
Filed under: Homo sapiens (human)
Lineage: Eukaryota; Metazoa; Chordata; Mammalia; Primates; Hominidae
Description: HSALNT0236000
Source: RNAcentral